GCCCCUUCGGCUAUAGCUCUCAACAUCUCCCCCUCUCUGUUUAAACAACAAACAUGUGGCUUAGGGACUGUGCCUGCCUUAGGUUGUCCAGUACUACAUAUGGUCCUUACCCGUCAUCAGAUGAGCUGACCUCAAGGUGUCAGCCUCCUGUCUUAGGUUGGUACCAUUGCAAUUGGAUCUUACCCGUCAUUGACUACCGGUCCAGCAUACAGCCACACCUGUGGAUAGGUCUUUGUACCAGCUGGGGGGGGGUGAGGUUCUUUACCUCACCUCUGUUGGCCCCCAAAUUUUAGCUGAACGACCAUCACAAGCAGAAGGGAGGAAGAUACACCAAUC
RNAcentral lists this long non-coding RNA (336 nucleotides) under Marmota monax (woodchuck). The record is from RNAcentral. Lineage: Eukaryota; Metazoa; Chordata; Mammalia; Rodentia; Sciuridae.